RNAcentral lists this long non-coding RNA (2822 nucleotides) under Sus scrofa (pig). RNAcentral describes it as "lncRNA (ENSSSCG00040023087.1)". The record is from RNAcentral. Lineage: Eukaryota; Metazoa; Chordata; Mammalia; Artiodactyla; Suidae.
UAUUAUGGUUGGAAGCAGAGUUGCCCUAAUGUAUACAAGUCCUUCAAGGCUAUUUUAGUAUGAACUUAAUUAGAACAUUCUUUCAUAAAGAAACAAAAAUGUGUGCCAUUUCCUCUUUCAUUUCAUAUAAACACAUGGACUCAGCAAACUGUAUAGUUAACAUAUUAGAAAGGUCUAAGUGCUUUAACCAUCAAAGAGCAGGGGUGUUGCUGGCCAAGGGUGAUGGUGGUCACAUAUUUUGCAAAGCUGAACUAUCACCUAUUAACUUAAAACCCUAAAAAUAGGCUCAGUGACAGGUAUUUGAGUUUAUGAAUGAAGAGAUAAAGAAAUGAUCGAUGACACGCUGGCUGCCAUCCUGGGACACCCCCAAUGUUCCCAGGACAAGUGACUAAAGGAAACAGCAAAACAAUAUGAUUGGCAGGGCCAUGAACAACUACAUGGGGUUCAUGACACUCAUCACCGCACUUGUGAUGUCCUUUAAAAAUGUUCUCAUGAAAUUCCUUGUCAGUUUUCCAUUUGGGUUUUCUAUAAUCAAAUGCAAAAUUAAAACAAAUUAAUAGGAGUUCCCGUCGUGGCUCAGUGGUUAAUGAAUCUGACUAGGAACCAUGAGGUUGAGGAUUCGAUCCCUGGCCUCGCUCAGUUUAGUAAACACUAAAGUUUAUGCUAGGAACUUGCUACAGACUGAAUAUUUGUGGCUGUCCCCAAAUUCCUGUAAUGAACCCUAUUCCCUGAUACAAUGGCAUCGGGAGGUGGGGACUUAAGGAAGUAAUCAGGUCAUAAGGAUGGCGUCCCCAUGAUGGGAUUAGUGUCCUUAUUAAAACAAAACCAACAGCAGUUUCCACUGUGGUUCAGCAGGUUCAGAAUCUGACUGGUAUCCAUGAGGAUGCAGGUUAGAUCCCUCACACCUCACUCAAUGGGUUAAGGAUCCAGUGUUGUCAUGAGUUGUGGUGUAGGUCACAGACGUAGCUUGGAUCCCGCAUUGCUGUGGCUGUGGCGUAGGCCAGCAGCUGCAGCUCCAACUUGACCCCUAGCCCAAGAACUUCCCCAUGCUGCAGGUGCAGCCCUAAAAAGAAAUUAAAAAAAGAAAACAAACAAACAAACCAAACCCAGUGAGCUCCCUGGCCCUUUCCACCAUCUGAGGAGCCAAUGAGAAGACUGUGAACCAGGAAGCAGGCCCUUGAUGAAUCAGCCCAAGUCUUGAUCUUGGACUUGUCAGCCUCCAGAGCCAAGGAGAAAUAAAUUUCUGCUGUGUAUACAUCUACAAGAAUAACAGCAGCCUAGAGGGACUAAGACAGAACUAAAGAAAAAAAAUUACUCGGUAUGAAUUUCCUUUCAAUUUUUAAAACUCCAACCCUUUGAAUAACUUCUGCACCCUUACUUUGUAAUAAAAGAGGCCACAAGAGCAAAGACAAUCAUAACAAGGUCCCUAUGCAAGCACCCUGUGGAUUUUUAAUGACAACACCUCACUUCACUUCUAGGCAAGUUACCGGAACACUCUGAUAGAAUCUUCACACAGCACAUCAAUCACUGCCAUGGCGAUCUUCUAUUAAGAUCUGACCUAGAAAAAGCCCUUAAUUUUUCUUCAUGUACGCCUCUAUCUUACAAUAUAUUCUUAUAGAAAAAUCAAAAUAUUUGGAAGAGAGUGAGAGAAAAAGAAAUAAUCCAUUUAGAAAAAGAGAGAGAGAGAGAGGAAAAAAAAUAGGAUAAAGUUGAGAAGACAUUGUUCCCUAAGCAGUAUUUUGUAGCCUAAAGCAGGGAGACCCUCCAGCUUAGUUAAAAUUUCCUUUUACCCAAAUAUUUUUCAUCGGUGCACAAGCUAGCCUCCCAUUUGCAUCUUUCUAAAUUACUAAAGACUUCGUUCUUCUUUUAAUUUCCAUACUAUUUCCUGCAAUAGAUGAUACUCUCCUCGACCUCAUUUCCUGUUUCUCAAUAAAUCUCUAAACUUUUGUUUGCACCCCAUCAUUCAUUUCAUCUAUCAGCUAGAGUUACGGCCAGGAUUUGGCAGGCCUUGUGGGAUGGGGGUGCGGGGGUGGGCCGGCGGGGGUGGGGGUGUUCUGGGUUGGGAAGUGACACAGUCCCACCGCACAGAGCUGGUCACCCUCUCAGGCCCACAGCAGAGGAGCACAGGCCCCUGGUCCAAGCAGCACCCGUCACAACUCUAUCUUGAAACUUCCCCUUCCUGGCCCCAACCACGGAAGGAAGCCAAUUCCUCACACCCCCGCAGGUGCAAGGCCUGUGCUCCCAUCUUCAGAGGGACCUUCAGGAUGACCCAUCACUGGCCCGCAGGCGCCUCACUGCAAGUAAGAGGAACUCUUUUCACGCUGCCUCGCACAGUCGACAGGGCUCAUCAGCUACGAUGCUGGGAAGCCCAGGGAUGGGAAAGUUUUGGAUUAUACUGAUGCAACAGCCAAGUAAUCGUGUCAAAUGCCAGGCUUCUUUCCUUCUCUCCUUCUCUCUACUCUGCCUGCAAGUGAUUGACUGGCAAGAACUCUGGAGAUGAUUUGCUUCCUUGUCCUCGUCCAAGGAGGAAGAGAACCAGGGAGGGAAAGGGAAAGACGUGGUGGGCAGGAGGGUGAGGAGGCUAGAGACCCAGACACACAGGUUGAGAGGGAGCAAAACUUCCCUAAAUUUGACCUCACUGGUCCAAAGGUCUCCACUGCGGUCAGAGGAAUAAGACUAUGUUGUCUCCUGCCUUGAACUAGAAGGGGUUUAAGCGUCCCCUAAAGCUAUGAAGUAACAGCAUGGGGCAGCCAGGCGUAGAUAUGCAAACAGCAAUUGAGGAAGGAAUCUCCAAGAAGGCCACCACAGUGUCCACUACACAA